RNAcentral lists this ribosomal RNA (303 nucleotides) under uncultured bacterium. Its description in RNAcentral is "partial 16S ribosomal RNA". It matches the Rfam family "Bacterial small subunit ribosomal RNA", at positions 507 to 807 of the family's 1533-position model. The record is from RNAcentral.
AGCAGUCGCCACGGUAAUACGAAGGGUGCAAGCGUUAAUCGGAAUUACUGGGCGUAAAGCGUGCGUAGGCGGUGAGUUAAGUCUGCUGUGAAAUCCCCGGGCUCAACCUGGGAAUGGCAGUGGAUACUGGCUCGCUAGAGUGUGUCAGAGGAUGGUGGAAUUCCCGGUGUAGCGGUGAAAUGCGUAGAGAUCGGGAGGAACAUCAGUGGCGAAGGCGGCCAUCUGGGACAACACUGACGCUGAGGCACGAAAGCGUGGGGAGCAAACAGAAUUAGAUACCCCUGUAGUCCCUGUCUCUUAUAC